This 204-nucleotide ribosomal RNA is filed under the name uncultured Planctomycetota bacterium. RNAcentral's name for it is "uncultured planctomycete partial 16S ribosomal RNA". It matches the Rfam family "Bacterial small subunit ribosomal RNA", at positions 571 to 773 of the family's 1533-position model. Lineage: Bacteria; Pseudomonadati; Planctomycetota. The record is from RNAcentral.
GUAGGUGGGUUUGUUAGUCAGAUGUGAAAGCCUUUCGUUCAACGGAAGAAUUGCAUCUGAAACUACAAACCUUGAGUAUAGGAGGGGAGAGUGGAACUUCUGGUGGAGCGGUGAAAUGCGUAGAUAUCAGAAGGAACGCCGGCGGCGAAAGCGACUCUCUGGCCUAUAACUGACACUGAGUGUGCGAAAGCUAGGGGAGCAAAC